AUGAACGCUAGCGACAGGCUUAACACAUGCAAGUCGAGGGGCAGCGGGGAUGUAGCUUGCUAUAUCUGCCGGCGACCGGCGCACGGGUGAGUAACACGUAUGCAACCUGCCCAUUGCAGGGGGAUAAGCAGAAGAAAUUCUGUCUAAUACCGCCUAAUAUGAGAUUGAGGCAUCUCGGUUUCAUUAAAGAUUUAUCGGCAAUGGAUGGGCAUGCGGCGCAUUAGCUAGUUGGCGGGGUAACGGCCCACCAAGGCGACGAUGCGUAGGGGUUCUGAGAGGAAGGUCCCCCACACUGGUACUGAGACACGGACCAGACUCCUACGGGAGGCAGCAGUGAGGAAUAUUGGUCAAUGGUCGGAAGACUGAACCAGCCAAGUAGCGUGAAGGAUGAAGGUUCUAUGGAUUGUAAACUUCUUUUAUACGGGAAUAAAACACCUUACGUGUAGGGUCUUGUAUGUACCGUAUGAAUAAGCAUCGGCUAACUCCGUG
RNAcentral lists this ribosomal RNA (489 nucleotides) under uncultured bacterium. RNAcentral's name for it is "bacterial SSU rRNA". It matches the Rfam family "Bacterial small subunit ribosomal RNA", at positions 29 to 507 of the family's 1533-position model. The record is from RNAcentral.